GGCCUGUUGAUUAUAAUUUCAGGUCUGACCUGCCCAAUGAGUAGUUAAAUGGCUGCGGUAUACUGACCGUGCAAAGGUAGCAUAAUCAUUAGUUUUUUAAUUGAAAGCUUGUAUGAAAGGUUUGAUGAAAAAUUUUCUGUCUCUGGAAAGAUUAAUUAGAAUUUUAUUUUUAAGUAAGAAAGCUUAAAUGUGUGUAGAAGACGAGAAGACCCUAUAGAGUUUUAUAUUUUUAUAAAGAUUUUAGGUUUGUGGAGUUAAAAAUCUUAUAUUUUUAGCAAAGUAUUUUGUUGGGGUGAUAGGAAAACUAGAUUAACUUUUCUUGAUUUUAUACAUUAUUUUGUGGGUGGAUGAUCCUUAGGUUUAGAUUGUAAGAUGAAAUUACCUUAGGGAUAACAGCGUAAUUUUUUAGAGAGUUCUUAUCGAAAAAAAAGUUUGCGACCUCGAUGUUGGAUUAAAAUAAAUUAUUGGUGAAGGAGCUAAUAAAUUAGGUCUGUUCGACCUUUAAAAUUUYACAUGAUCUGAGUUUAAACCGGUGUGAG
Molecule: ribosomal RNA, 539 nt
Filed under: Trigonopterus sp. 694 AR-2022a
Lineage: Eukaryota; Metazoa; Arthropoda; Insecta; Coleoptera; Curculionidae
Description: partial large subunit ribosomal RNA
Source: RNAcentral